This 90-nucleotide transfer RNA is filed under the name bacterium. Its description in RNAcentral is "tRNA-Ser". It matches the Rfam family "tRNA". Rfam says of the family: Transfer RNA (tRNA) molecules are approximately 80 nucleotides in length. Their secondary structure includes four short double-helical elements and three loops (D, anti-codon, and T loops). The record is from RNAcentral.
GGAAAGAUGCCAGAGCGGUCGAAUGGGCAACCCUGGAAAGGUUGUAUAUCCGAAAGGGUAUCGAGGGUUCGAAUCCCUCUCUUUCCGCCA